UACGGGGGGGGCAAGCGUUGUUCGGAAUUACUGGGCGUAAAGGGCUCGUAGGCGGCCAACUAAGUCAGACGUGAAAUCCCUCGGCUUAACCGGGGAACUGCGUCUGAUACUGGAUGGCUUGAGACUGGGAGAGGGAUGCGGAAUUCCAGGUGUAGCGGUGAAAUGCGUAGAUAUCUGGAGGAACACCGGUGGCGAAGGCGACAUCCUGGACCAAUACUGACGCUGAGUGAGCGAAAGCCAGGGGAGCAAACGGGAUUAGAUACCCCGGUAGUCCUGGCCCUAAACGAUGAAUGCUUGGUGUGGCGGGUAUCGAUCCCUGCCGUGCCGAAGCUAACGCAUUAAGCAUUCCGCCUGGGGAGUACGGUCGCAAGGCUGAAACUCAAAG
This 385-nucleotide ribosomal RNA is filed under the name uncultured bacterium. RNAcentral describes it as "bacterial SSU rRNA". It matches the Rfam family "Bacterial small subunit ribosomal RNA", at positions 524 to 906 of the family's 1533-position model. The record is from RNAcentral.